AUGCCUGUGAUGAGAUAACUGACAGCAGCUGUUGGAGUGGGACAGGUACUAGAGGCAGCUUCCAUCAGCCCAGCUGGGCUGGGGCUGCUGCUGGAGCUCUGGGUAUUCAGAGUGGGCUGGCAGCUGGCUGGGUCAGGAGCUGUGCUAGUGCAUGCAGGUACACUUGAAAACAAUCCAAGAAAAUGAUGAGGGUUUGCUUCUGAUGUAAUGACGUAUCCCCCUGACAUCACAGUGAAGAAUGAAUGUUUCUCCCUACAAAAAUCACAGAGCUAUAAGAACACAUUUGGGAGGAAGGAAAGGGGGAAGGAAAAAAGAAAACGAUACACAAACACAUUUGAAAACUACAGCUACUUCAGUGAAAAAGAUCAUUCUGCUCAGGGCUGCUGUUUCAAUAGAGCUCCGUUCUCGGCCUCGUCAUUUAAGUUCCCCAUUUAAUUUAUAUAUAAAAAAUUCAACAGGUUUAAUGUUCCAGUUUCUCAUUCUUUUAAUUAAAAUGGAAAAUAUGCCCCUUUGUGUACCUCUUCAAGUACUGAAGAUUUGAGCCAUCUAAGACAGCUGUAAAGAAGAUUUUGCAGAACUUUGUGUUUCUGUCUUGUUCCUUAAGAUACACUGGACAAAAGAGAGAUGAUAAACUUUAAAUGUUGAAUUUAUUAGAAGCAUAACGAACAAUAAUAAACUUGAUUUUACCAAGGCA
Molecule: long non-coding RNA, 694 nt
Organism: Anas platyrhynchos (mallard)
Lineage: Eukaryota; Metazoa; Chordata; Aves; Anseriformes; Anatidae
Source: RefSeq, a predicted model, not a curated record